UACGUAGGGUGCGAGCGUUAAUCGGAAUUACUGGGCGUAAAGUGCGCGCAGGCGGCAGAGCAAGUCGAGUGUGAAAGCCCCGGGCUUAACUUGGGAAUUGCGCUCGAAACUACUUUGCUGGAGUGUGGCAGAGGAAGGUGGAAUUCCACGUGUAGCGGUGAAAUGCGUAGAGAUGUGGAGGAACACCAAUGGCGAAGGCAGCCUUCUGGGCCAACACUGACGCUCAUGCACGAAAGCGUGGGGAGCAAACAGG
Molecule: ribosomal RNA, 253 nt
Filed under: uncultured bacterium
Lineage: Bacteria
Description: partial 16S ribosomal RNA
Rfam family: Bacterial small subunit ribosomal RNA
Source: RNAcentral